This 212-nucleotide unclassified non-coding RNA is filed under the name Basidiomycota sp. Its description in RNAcentral is "partial contains small subunit ribosomal RNA, internal transcribed spacer 1, and 5.8S ribosomal RNA". The stretch from base 1 to 47 matches the Rfam family "Eukaryotic small subunit ribosomal RNA", at positions 1785 to 1831 of the family's 1831-position model. Lineage: Eukaryota; Fungi; Basidiomycota. The record is from RNAcentral.
AAAGUCGUAACAAGGUUUCCGUAGGUGAACCUGCGGAAGGAUCAUUAGAGAUAUUUGCGAGGCGUAAGCCGAGCGUUUAUUUGUUUAAGUUCAAAUGUGAAGUGUUGUUACCACUGCAAAGUUUUUGUUGGUGGAUUUUUUGCUGCGUAAUGUAAUGAGUAUGAGUUGUAUUAUAACAAGUAAAACUUUCAGUGACGGAUCUCUUGGCUCUC